UUCCUAUGAGAACCCUUCUUAUAAUGAGAACCUAUCUUUUAAUGAGAACUCACAUUUUCAACCCUUAGAUUUUAACUAACAGUCUAGAUUAAAUGCUAAUACCACAUCUUAUCGUUUGCUAUACCCAUAAAACAAUUAAAUCUUUUCUCUCUCCUACCCCUUUGUCUUCCCCAUAUUCUAAGAAGCUCUGGUUUUGUCUUCGUGUUAUCACCGCCGGCAAAUUCAUCAAACAACAAUUCUCUCACUGUCUCACAAAAGUAUGUUUCACACAUUUUUUUAUUUUUAUUUUUAUUUAUUUGUCUUAUGAAGAAGUAAUUUGUCUUAUUAUUGAUCAUAUUAUUUGCUCUGCUUCAUGAUCAUUAAUAUGUAAUUCAAAUGUGCAAAAUGUGCCACUUAUCUAGUCACCGCCGGCAAAUCAUAUUAAAAAGUAUGACUCUUGAAUUUCUUAAUAUUAUUUGCUCUACUACAUAUCUACUACACAUGUUGCUGCCAUUUAUAAACUAGGUUGAACUACAUGGCUCUACUCAUGCCUACAUGGUGUACUAUGUGUAGUUGUUCUUCACUCAGAUGUUGGCUUUAGUGCCUCUUUUGCUCUAAAUACUCUGUACAUGAUUCUUUAGGAAUGCUGACUUCUUGUAAUCUUCUCUUAAGUUUUUUCUUAUACCUCCUUUUUCUCUAAAUACUGCUUGUUUAUCUACGAAAUAAGUAAUCCUAAUAUGUUUAAGCAAUUAAGGUAGUGGCAUGUAUCAAUCAUAGGAGGUUGUUGCUCAAAAUGUCACACCACAAGGUUUUAAGACAACCUAUGUAGGAGUCGAACCUACAUCCCCUAUGCAUUUGCAUAGUGCUCUACCACUUGAGCUAAUAGGUUUUAACAAAUAUCCAAUAAAAGCAACCAAUUUUCUAUUAUACCCUGUCACUUGCCAAUGGUUUAGCAUUGGAAAUCAUGCAGCUAAUCAACAAAAAUCAAAUCCAAUGCAACAAGAUCAAAUAUAUAUGAUGUAGAUGUUGGCUUUGAUCAAGAAAAGCAACAUGUAUACUAGUACCCACUCAUCUACUACAAUAUACUGAUUUUUGAUCUAGAAAAGCAACCUGUAUACUAGUAUAGUAGUACCAACUAAUCCACUACCUAAAAAACAGUAUUAUCAAUCACCUCUUAAACUAGUGUCAAUUUGGCUUGCUUGAAGACGAUUAUACUAAGCAGGGGAUAGAUCUCACUAUUAUAUGAAAAAAAAACCAAUUUUCUAAAUCUUAAAGAACAUAGAGAGGUUGAGAAAUUAAGUUAACUACUGAAAUUAAAAUUAUGGUGCUACAAUAAACAAAAAUUAUGGAUUUGAAACAUACCUAUUUGAAAAAAAAACGACAUGAGAUCGCACUAUUACCUCAAUUUCUGCAUCAAAAAAAAAAGACCCUAACAUAGUAAAAUAAGAAUUGAGAGAAAUAUACUAUUUCAAGAAAAGAUCGACUGAUUCACAAAACCUAAAGGAUGAAGAUAAGUGAGAUUGAUUCACUGUCGAAUUUGUUGGAGAUGUAUCUGCAUCUGGAGCUACAAAUACCAAUAAACAAAAUGAAUUCAGAAAUUUAAAGAGAGAGUAGUAAAGGGAUAAGGGGAUUUUAAGGGGUAUGAGAGAGAAAAAAAAGAUUUUAGGUGUAUUAUGGGGUAUAUGGAACAUACUUUUGUGAGAGAAUUGUUGUUUGAUGAAUUUGCCGGCGGUGAUAACACGAAGACAAAAUCAAAGCUUCUUAGAAUAUGGGGAAGACAAAGGGGUAGGAGAGAGAAAAGAUUUAAUUGUUUUAUGGGUAUAGCAAACGAUAAGAUGUAGUAUUAGCAUUUAAUCUAGACUGUUAGUUAAAAUCUAAGGGUUGAAAAUGUGAGUUCUCAUUAAAAGAUAGGUUCUCAUUAUAAGAAGGGUUCUCACAGGAACUCCCCCCUAUAUAUAUAUAUAUAUAUAUAUAUAUAUAUAUAUAUUCUUUUAUCUUCUGAAACUCAGAAAUUUUCUCUCUCCUCUCUCCUUUCUCCUUCGUUUAUUCCAUAUCAAACUUUCCCUCUCCUCUUCUCCUCUCUCCUUUCUCCUUUCUCCUUCUAGGAAAAGAAAACUUGAUCAUCAGCAAAUCCAAGAGAAAUUUGCAGAAUUUUGAACCAUGAAAAACAAAAUUCGCUUGAAACUACUUGAGAAAACUUGCCGAUUUUCCAAUCACAAAUCAUGCGAGAACAAAAAUAUAACAAUCAAUCGAAAACGUAAAUUGAAGGAGCGAUGCAAGAACGCAAAUCGAAAAUUCAGAAAUCGAGAUGAAAAUUCGAGUAAGAUUUCCUCUGUUAAAUGAAAUAUUUUCAUUUAAAAGAUUUUGAUUGCACUGGACAAAAAUGAAGAGAUAUGUUUAUAUCAAUGAUGAUGAAUCCAUGCAUGAUUUUUUUUUGACAAUCACAUAUCGAACCAGAAAUAUACAAUUCUUAAUUUCUUGUAUUCUUAUUGAUAGUUAAUUUGCUUUUUCUUUAUCAAGCAUUUGUUGUUGCGAAAUUGAAUGUUAUUGCAAGUGUUGAUAAAUCGAGUUAUUGUUGUUUU
Molecule: RNA transcript, 2561 nt
Organism: Beta vulgaris subsp. vulgaris (sugar beet)
Lineage: Eukaryota; Viridiplantae; Streptophyta; Magnoliopsida; Caryophyllales; Amaranthaceae
Exons: 2
Source: RefSeq, a predicted model, not a curated record